Molecule: ribosomal RNA, 430 nt
Filed under: bacterium
Lineage: Bacteria
Description: partial 16S ribosomal RNA
Rfam family: Bacterial small subunit ribosomal RNA
Source: RNAcentral
UGGGGUAUAUUGGACAAUGGGCGGAAGCCUGAUCCAGCCAUGCCGCGUGUGUGAAGAAGGCCUUUUGGUUGUAAAGCACUUUAAGCGAGGAGGAGGCUACUUGGAUUAAUACUCUAGGAUAGUGGACGUUACUCGCAGAAUAAGCACCGGCUAACUCUGUGCCAGCAGCCGCGGUAAUACAGAGGGUGCGAGCGUUAAUCGGAUUUACUGGGCGUAAAGCGUGCGUAGGCGGCUUCUUAAGUCGGAUGUGAAAUCCCUGAGCUUAACUUAGGAAUUGCAUUCGAUACUGGGAAGCUAGAGUAUGGGAGAGGAUGGUAGAAUUCCAGGUGUAGCGGUGAAAUGCGUAGAGAUCUGGAGGAAUACCGAUGGCGAAGGCAGCCAUCUGGCCUAAUACUGACGCUGAGGUACGAAAGCAUGGGGAGCAAACAGG